Molecule: ribosomal RNA, 489 nt
Filed under: Fusarium oxysporum f. sp. lycopersici
Lineage: Eukaryota; Fungi; Ascomycota; Sordariomycetes; Hypocreales; Nectriaceae
Description: eukaryotic LSU rRNA
Rfam family: 5.8S ribosomal RNA (bases 154-307)
Source: RNAcentral
CAUUACCGAGUUUACAACUCCCAAACCCCUGUGAACAUACCACUUGUUGCCUCGGCGGAUCAGCCCGCUCCCGGUAAAACGGGACGGCCCGCCAGAGGACCCCUAAACUCUGUUUCUAUAUGUAACUUCUGAGUAAAACCAUAAAUAAAUCAAAACUUUCAACAACGGAUCUCUUGGUUCUGGCAUCGAUGAAGAACGCAGCAAAAUGCGAUAAGUAAUGUGAAUUGCAGAAUUCAGUGAAUCAUCGAAUCUUUGAACGCACAUUGCGCCCGCCAGUAUUCUGGCGGGCAUGCCUGUUCGAGCGUCAUUUCAACCCUCAAGCACAGCUUGGUGUUGGGACUCGCGUUAAUUCGCGUUCCUCAAAUUGAUUGGCGGUCACGUCGAGCUUCCAUAGCGUAGUAGUAAAACCCUCGUUACUGGUAAUCGUCGCGGCCACGCCGUUAAACCCCAACUUCUGAAUGUUGACCUCGGAUCAGGUAGGAAUACCCG